AUACGUAGGUGACAAGCGUUAUCCGGAUUUACUGGGCGUAAAGGGCGUGUAGGCGGUCUUGCAAGUCAGAAGUGAAAUUCCUGAGCUCAACUCGGGCGCUGCUUCUGAAACUGCAGGACUUGAGUGCUGGAGGGGAUAGCGGAAUUCCUAGUGGAGCGGUAAAAUGCGCAGAUAUUAGGAAGAACACCGGUGGCGAAGGCGGCUAUCUGGACAGUAACUGACGCUGAGGCGCGAAAGCGUGGGGAGCAAACAGGAUUAGAUACCCUGGUAGUCCACACUGUAAACGAUGAAUGCUAGGUGUAGGGGGUAUCGACCCCUUCUGUGCCGCAGUCAACACAAUAAGCAUUCCGCCUGGGGAGUACGACCGCAAGGUUGAAACUUAAAGGAAUCGACGGGG
Molecule: ribosomal RNA, 397 nt
Filed under: uncultured bacterium
Lineage: Bacteria
Description: partial 16S ribosomal RNA
Rfam family: Bacterial small subunit ribosomal RNA
Source: RNAcentral